This 492-nucleotide ribosomal RNA is filed under the name uncultured bacterium. RNAcentral describes it as "partial 16S ribosomal RNA". It matches the Rfam family "Bacterial small subunit ribosomal RNA", at positions 29 to 507 of the family's 1533-position model. The record is from RNAcentral.
AGUGAACGCUGGCGGUAGGCCUAACACAUGCAAGUCGAACGGCAGCACAGUAAGAGCUUGCUCUUACGGGUGGCGAGUGGCGGACGGGUGAGGAAUACAUCGGAAUCUACUUUUUCGUGGGGGAUAACGUAGGGAAACUUACGCUAAUACCGCAUACGACCUACGGGUGAAAGCAGGGGAUCUUCGGACCUUGCGCGAUUGAAUGAGCCGCUGUCGGAUUAGCUAGUUGGCGCGGUAAAGGCCCACCAAGGCGACGAUCCGUAGCUGGUCUGAGAGGAUGAUCAGCCACACGGGAGCUGGGACACGGUCCAGACUCCUACGGGAGGCAGCAGUGGGGAAUAGUGGACAAUGGUCGCGAGCCUGAUCCAGCCAUACCGCGUGGGUGAAGAAGGCCUUCGGGUUGUAAAGCCCUUUUGUUGGUAAAGAAAAGCAGCAGGUUAAUACCCCGCUGUUCUGACGGUACCCAAAGAAUAAGCACCGGCUAACUUCGUG